UUCUUUUUUUUCUAUUUUGUUAUUUUUUCUUUAUUGUAAUCAUUAAUCAGUAUAUUCAAAAGUUUAAGAAACAACCACAAAUGCCAGUGUAAACAUGCUUCAGAUAUAUAAGUAAUAUAAAGUAUUGCACAUACAAAAGUCCUAUGUUUGGUAUCUCCUUACGGUGCUGUUUCAUCAGAGUAAGAGUUACGCAGAUGAUGUGACUGAGCUAGCUGAUCUUAUUUCUGAAGUUGCUACACACAACAGUUCAGUAUUUACAAAAGAUAGAAGCUCACUGUGUUUUUCAUGGAAGGAUGAUUUUGCCUGGAAUGUAUGGGAUACAGAGGUAUGCAAAUAUGGGACAGGCUUGCUUUAUGGUGGUAUUUAUCAGCUGGUUCCUCUACUCUACCAGGCGUCAGCUCAAACCCGUUUGGGGGAAGGGGUCUGUUAGUGGUUUUCUGGGGGACUGGGAAGUGGUCAGGCCUCCCCAUCCUCAGAAAACAGAGUGAAGCACCUCAGUUUUUUGGAGCAUGUAUCUCCUCCUCUUAUUGAAUCUCAUGGGCACACUGCAUCUGCUAAGCUGAAGACUCCAUAAAGAUCUUCUUGCAAUUUUGCCUUAGAUAUGAAGAUGGAACACACCUGCUCAGGUUUCUAGCUUCUGCUUGGAUUUCACAGGUCAGCCUGCCUGCAAGAAAUGGUAAAACUGUAAAAUCUCCUGUCAGACUGACAGAAGUGACAAUGUCUCAUGGCUAGUCCUGUCCCAAAGUCUUUGGAAGCAGAAGGGCAGUUAUCUAAAAGGAGACAAGAAGUUGCAGAACAGAUGAGGACAUUUGCUAAUUAAGAAGCUGAGAUGGCUUGGAAAGAAAAGGAGCUCAGGAAAAGGGAAGUGUGGUGUAUGUUUCAGAAAAUGAACAAUCCCUCCUGAAGUUUACCCAAUAUAGCUGACUUCACACUCACAGGCAGCACUGGAAGAUUCAAGCUUUCAGGCACAAAUUUGCACAGAGGAGAGCUUACAGCCCCUGCUGAGAUAAGGACCAUUUGCAGAUAGAAGACAAGGAAUGAAGCCUCUCUUCUUCAGAAUCCUCGACCCAGAAAAAAAACCCUAAACCAACCAAACUCUCCCCCCCCCAAAAUGUAUAUUUUUAUGCUUUACCUCAAAAUACCUUUCCUUCUUUUUGUUCAUGCUUGGCUGGCUGGCAUCCUCUUUUUCUGCAUAAAUACAAAUCCUGUCCACCUUCCUUGCAAGAAUUUGCUUAAGAAA
Molecule: long non-coding RNA, 1240 nt
Organism: Strigops habroptila (Kakapo)
Lineage: Eukaryota; Metazoa; Chordata; Aves; Psittaciformes; Psittacidae
Source: Ensembl